GCUUGUCUCAAAGAUUAAGCCAUGCAUGUCUAAGUGUAAAUACGUCUACACUGUGAAACUGCGAAUGGCUCAUUAAAUCAGUUAUCGUUUAUUUGAUGAUCUCUUGUUACAUGGAUAACCGUAGUAAUUCUAGAGCUAAUACAUGCGUCAAGCCCCGACUCACGAAGGGGUGUAUUUAUUAGAUUCAAAGCCAACCGCGCAAGCGUACCUUGGUGAUUCAUAAUAACUUGUCGAACCGCACGCCCUUGAGGCAGCGGUGAUUCAUUCAAAUUUCUGCCCUAUCAGCUUUCGACGGUAGUGUAGUGGACUACCGUGGCGCUAACGGGUGACGGAGAAUUAGGGUUCGGUUCCGGAGAGGGAGCCUGAGAAACGGCUACCACAUCCAAGGAAGGCAGCAGG
This 399-nucleotide ribosomal RNA is filed under the name uncultured Cryptophyta. Its description in RNAcentral is "partial small subunit ribosomal RNA". It matches the Rfam family "Eukaryotic small subunit ribosomal RNA", at positions 30 to 432 of the family's 1831-position model. The record is from RNAcentral. Lineage: Eukaryota; Cryptophyceae.